Molecule: small RNA, 298 nt
Filed under: Cyphellophora attinorum
Lineage: Eukaryota; Fungi; Ascomycota; Eurotiomycetes; Chaetothyriales; Cyphellophoraceae
Description: Phialophora attae 5' ureB small RNA
Rfam family: 5' ureB small RNA
Source: Rfam by way of RNAcentral
UUGACUCGUAGGCCUGUUGCGGGCAAAUCAGGUGGAUGUGCGUAUCGAAGCCGCCAGCAGUGACGAUCAUGUGCUCGCCGGCGAUCACGUCGGUGCCGUUGCCUACAAUCAUGUUGGGAGACACGCCUGGCAUGACGUCUGGGUUGCCGGCUUUGCCAAUGCCGGCGAUGAGCUGAUUCUUGAUGCCGAUAUCGGCUUUGUAGAUGCCAGUCCAGUCGAUAAUGAGAGCGUUGGUGAUGACCGUGUCGAGGACUUCGGCGUCCGGGCGAUUCGAGGCCUGGCCCAUUCCUUCGCGCAG